UGUUUAUUCACUUUCCGAAGAAUAAUUUAUUUUAACAAUAAAUGUGCUGCCCAAUUAAAUUAGGUUGCUUUACUACACAGCAUAUCGAUCGAUCAAAAGAUAUUAUAAUUACUAACAAUAUGUUGAAUUUAGAGUUUUAGUUUGAAAUUAAUUAUAAAUGUGAUAAUGUAUGAUGUGGAUUGUUGCACUUAAAAUUUCUUCUGUCAUUGACUUUAAUUUAGAUUUGUUUAGCCUA
Molecule: long non-coding RNA, 235 nt
Organism: Bradysia coprophila
Lineage: Eukaryota; Metazoa; Arthropoda; Insecta; Diptera; Sciaridae
Source: RefSeq, a predicted model, not a curated record